Molecule: long non-coding RNA, 232 nt
Organism: Cebus imitator (Panamanian white-faced capuchin)
Lineage: Eukaryota; Metazoa; Chordata; Mammalia; Primates; Cebidae
Exons: 4
Source: RefSeq, a predicted model, not a curated record
ACCUCCACCAAAAUUGGAGGAGCAGGUAUCAAGCACACACAUGCAGCUCAAAACACUUUGCUCAGCCACGCCCCCACGGGAAACAGCAGUGACAAACUUUUAGCAAUAAACGAAAGUUUAACUAAGCUACACUAAUUAUAAGAGUUGGUCAAUUUUGUGCCAGCCACCGAGCCCAUACGAUUAACUCAAGUUAAUAGAACCUGGCGUAAAGAGUGUUUAAGACUUAACUCAA